CAUUUCUAUGACGUGUCGCUGGAUGAAGACGAUGAGCGACUAUUACCUAGUCUUGCACGUCGAAACCCAAUGUGUAACCAUACCAAACUGUGGCCUCGGCGUGGUCACGCCCCGGGUGCGUUGCAGCCCCGGAACCAGGCGCCCGCCGGAGGGACCAACCAAACUCUUUUCUGUAGUCCCCUCGCGGACGUUAUUUCUUACAGCUCUGAGCAAAAAUUCAAAAUGAAUCAAAACUUUCAACAACGGAUCUCUUGGUUCUGGCAUCGAUGAAGAACGCAGCGAAAUGCGAUAAGUAAUGUGAAUUGCAGGAUUCAGUGAAUCAUCGAAUCUUUGAACGCACAUUGCGCCCGCCAGUAUUCUGGCGGGCAUGCCUGUCCGAGCGUCAUUUCAACCCUCGAACCCCUCCGGGGGGUCGGCGUUGGGGACCUCGGGAGCCCCUAAGACGGGAUCCCGGCCCCGAAAUACAGUGGCGGUCUCGCCGCAGCCUCUCCUGCGCAGUAGUUUGCACAACUCGCACCGGGAGCGCGGCGCGUCCACGUCCGUAAAACACCCAACUUCUGAAAUGUUGACCUCGGAUCAGGUAGGAAUACCCGCUGAACUUAAGCAUAUCAAUAAGCGGAGGA
This 623-nucleotide ribosomal RNA is filed under the name uncultured Trichoderma. RNAcentral's name for it is "eukaryotic LSU rRNA". The stretch from base 232 to 385 matches the Rfam family "5.8S ribosomal RNA". The record is from RNAcentral. Lineage: Eukaryota; Fungi; Ascomycota; Sordariomycetes; Hypocreales; Hypocreaceae.